UCAUACUUAUAUUUGGCGAAAUGAAAAAUUUAACUGUACAUACUUGGUGGUGGAAUAAUUUACGUCAAAACGUCGUGAACUAACACUCCUAUAGUAUAAUAUUAUAUACAAAAAGGCUUGUC
Gillisia sp. Hel1_33_143 is the source of this 122-nucleotide regulatory RNA element. It matches the Rfam family "Bacteroidete tryptophan peptide leader RNA". The record is from Rfam. Lineage: Bacteria; Pseudomonadati; Bacteroidota; Flavobacteriia; Flavobacteriales; Flavobacteriaceae.